RNAcentral lists this ribosomal RNA (465 nucleotides) under uncultured bacterium. RNAcentral's name for it is "partial 16S ribosomal RNA". It matches the Rfam family "Bacterial small subunit ribosomal RNA", at positions 339 to 795 of the family's 1533-position model. The record is from RNAcentral.
CUACGGGGGGCACCAGUGGGGAAUAUUGGACAAUGGGGGAAACCCUGAUCCAGCAAUGCCGCGUGUGUGAAGAAGGCCUGCGGGUGGUAAAGCACUUUCGGUUGGGAGGACUGCUUCUAGCACUAAUAUUGUUGGAAGUUGACGUUACCUUCAGAAGAAGCACCGGCUAACUCCGUGCCAGCAGCCGCGGUAAUACGGAGGGUGCAAGCGUUAAUCGGAAUUACUGGGCGUAAAGCGCGCGUAGGCGGCUAGAUCAGUCGGGUGUGAAAGCCCCGGGCUUAACCAGGGAACUGCAUCCGAUACUGUCUAGCUUGAGUACAGGAGAGGAGAGUGGAAUUCCACAUGUAGCGGUGAAAUGCGUAGAUAUGUGGAGGAACACCAAUGGCGAAGGCAGCUCUCUGGCCUGAUACUGACGCUGAGGUGCGAAAGCGUGGGGAGCAAACAGGCUUAGAUACCCGUGUAGUC